Molecule: ribosomal RNA, 477 nt
Filed under: Streptococcus sanguinis
Lineage: Bacteria; Bacillati; Bacillota; Bacilli; Lactobacillales; Streptococcaceae
Description: bacterial SSU rRNA
Rfam family: Bacterial small subunit ribosomal RNA
Source: RNAcentral
GACGAACGCUGGCGGCGUGCCUAAUACAUGCAAGUAGAACGCUGAAGAGAGGAGCUUGCUCUUCUUGGAUGAGUUGCGAACGGGUGAGUAACGCGUAGGUAACCUGCCUGGUAGCGGGGGAUAACUAUUGGAAACGAUAGCUAAUACCGCAUGAUAUUAAUUGUCGCAUGAUAAUUAAUUGAAAGAUGCAAUUGCAUCACUACCAGAUGGACCUGCGUUGUAUUAGCUAGUUGGUGAGGUAACGGCUCACCAAGGCGACGAUACAUAGCCGACCUGAGAGGGUGAUCGGCCACACUGGGACUGAGACACGGCCCAGACUCCUACGGGAGGCAGCAGUAGGGAAUCUUCGGCAAUGGGGGGAACCCUGACCGAGCAACGCCGCGUGAGUGAAGAAGGUUUUCGGAUCGUAAAGCUCUGUUGUAAGAGAAGAACGGGUGUGAGAGUGGAAAGUUCACACUGUGACGGUAUCUACCAGAA